RNAcentral lists this unclassified non-coding RNA (221 nucleotides) under Hevea brasiliensis (rubber tree). The record is from RNAcentral. Lineage: Eukaryota; Viridiplantae; Streptophyta; Magnoliopsida; Malpighiales; Euphorbiaceae.
GAUCUGAAGACAAUAAAAGUGUCAACAUUGGCAUGGAGGAGAAGUUCACUGUUCGUAAAAAGAGAGAGAUAAAAUAUAAUUGAAGCUGGCAGAAACCGCCACAUUGUUUUAAGAUCAAGCUUAUCAUGUUCUAGAACCUUGAGCCACCCGCACAUGAGAACUCCAGCUGCACUUGUGAAAUACUGCAGUGCAGUUAGUGUCCCUGGGUAAGGAAAUUUCAU